RNAcentral lists this ribosomal RNA (472 nucleotides) under uncultured bacterium. RNAcentral's name for it is "partial 16S ribosomal RNA". It matches the Rfam family "Bacterial small subunit ribosomal RNA", at positions 28 to 507 of the family's 1533-position model. The record is from RNAcentral.
GACGAACGCUGGCGGCGUGCUUAACACAUGCAAGUCGAACGAUGAACCCGGAGCGUGCGCUGGGGGAUUAGUGGCGAACGGGUGAGUAACGCGUGAGUAACCUGCCCUGGACGCUGGGAUAAGCGUUGGAAACGACGUCACAUACCGGAUAGGACUGUGGAACGCAUGAGCUGGGGUGGAAAGGUUGGUCGGUCUGGGACGGACUCGCGGCCUCUCAGCUUGUUGGUGAGGUAAUGGCUCACCAAGGCGUCGACGGGUAGCCGGCCUGAGGGGGUGGCCGGCCACACUGGGAGUGAGGCGCGGCCCCGCCGCCUCCGGGGGGCAGCAGUGGGGGAUAUUGCUCAAUGAGCGAAAGCCGGCUGAAGCAGCGCCGCGUGCGGGCUGACGGCCUUCGGGUUGUUGACCGCUUUUAGUAGGGAAGAAGGGCUUCGGCUUGACGGUACCUGCAGAAAAAGGACCGGCUAACUACGUG